RNAcentral lists this unclassified non-coding RNA (432 nucleotides) under Hevea brasiliensis (rubber tree). The record is from RNAcentral. Lineage: Eukaryota; Viridiplantae; Streptophyta; Magnoliopsida; Malpighiales; Euphorbiaceae.
UGGGCAAUUGCAAAGGUAUACCCUUACUUCUGUCUUCUUCACCACCUCCGCGAGUGAUAUGUUGUCAUUUUCCAGUUUCCUGGGAAUGUGCAAGGGUCUGUAGGUCCUCAUUCUCAUACAUGGAUCUCUUCAUAGUCGGCUACAAAUAAUGUCAAAUAUAGUGUGAUUUUUCUUCUAUCUUUUUUUCUUCUUUGGGUAGGUGACUUACUGUCAUUCGUUCAGUGGUCAAUAUUCAGCCACUUAAUGUGCUGUUAACUUUUCUUUCUUCUCUGUAUUUUCUAGCAGCCUUUGUGUUAUAUUUGAUAUUUUUGCUCUCACAGAUUAUGAUAAUAAAAUUCAAUGGGUCUUCUAGUGCAAAUGUUUUUCUUCAAUAGAAAUAUUUGAGUGUGGCUUAAUUUUUUUUCGGCAAUAAAAAAGAUCUCUUUUGCUGCA